Triticum dicoccoides is the source of this 1929-nucleotide long non-coding RNA. RefSeq lists it as uncharacterized. The transcript has 6 exons. NCBI's taxonomy places the organism in Eukaryota, Viridiplantae, Streptophyta, Magnoliopsida, Poales, Poaceae. The record is from RefSeq and is a predicted model, not a curated record.
ACACUACGGUUCAUCGACAGAAAAUCGUCCUAAAAAAAUUUACGACGGUUAACCUACGAAAUUAAACCUACGCCCCGACCGCCGCCGCCCCUGGCGCGUGGCAGGGGAGAGAAGGGGGGCAAGAUCGGCGGGGCAGAGUUCUUUCGGAAGGACGGCGUGGUGGGCGACAUGGACGGAUACCUCAACUACCUGUCCCUCGAGUAUGACUUCGUCUCGGACACCAAUCCUGCUUGGGUAUCUUCAUUUUGGAAGCAGGAAUCCUUUCCUCAUAAGAUGGAUGAGCUGUAGGAUUUGAUUCUGUUCAGCUUGAAUUAGUUUUUCAUCAUCAUGUUCUUUGUAUUAGGAAUUCAUGCCUUCCAGCUCUAAUUUUUUCGCAUUGUUGGUGUAUGCUGGGAGUCACAUUAUUAUGCUGCUAGCAAACAGUAGGAUUGGAAGUCUUACUCUAUAGAUUGGUUCCCAUUGUUACAGUGAAGUAGCUACCAAGCAGCGAGGCCAUCGAGUGACACGAGACCGCGGGACGGCGUGAGAAGAAGCAGGGGGUGUCUGGCGGGAUGGAGAAGACCACAGGGAAGUGUGGCAACGGAGUGCAAUCCCGAAGAAGAAGAACAUUGCAAAGAAAGACCCUGGCCAAGCGCCACCCAAUUUUCUUUCACCGGCCCAUCUAAUGGCCAUCAAUUCAAUUGGUCCAAGCUGUUGUGUUGACCUUCCCAUUGAUCCACUACAUCCUCGCUCAGCUGGUUCUGCUAUGUUUCUUCUCCAUGGCAUUGCUGGUUGCCGGCGUGCCUGACAUCGCGCCUUAUGUGACCUGACAUGAUGCUCCUCUACGUGUUCUUCUCACCCCGGUUUCCAUGACGAGAGAUGUUGUUCUGUGGUUCCGUAGUUCUACUCCAUAGCAAUGAUGGAGUCGCCUCCAUAUGGAUAGCAAUUAUCUCGGGAUCAUGAGAGCUGUCUACGCAACGGCCAGGGGGCAUAUGCUUCUCCUAGCACUAACACCUUCAUCCUAUUUGAGCCAGAAUGGCUUUGGUGCCCUCUCUCGCUCAUGGUGAGGCCGUGCAUGCUUGCCAUGGUUGUGGCUACGAAAUCUCAGACUGAGUCGCUUCGGUCGGGCACUAUUCAGUACAUUGGUUUUGCUCACAUCACAAAUAUCUAACAACAAGAGUGAUUAUGAAAGCAUAAAAUAUAUUGGCGACCAAACAUCAGAGGCCCAAUUAGUUACAAGACUGACUCAUUGGGGUUUCGCUUGGAGCAUUCUUGAGAUGUUCAGUGGCGUUCAGACUUGGUGUGCCAAAUCACCAGAUGAGAUUUAUCAGUCAGUUGUCCUGAAGAAAUAGAAACCGAUGUUCCUGUACAAUUUACCUACGAAGGUCGCUAAUGUCCUCUCUGGCUGCUAUGAGUAUGACUUUCGGGAUCACUCCUUGAUGUUAGAUAUCUUACAGUCAUUUGAAAGGUUGGAGGUGACACAUGAACGCUGGCAAUGCAAAAUAGCAGAUAUAAAAUAACUGCAGCUCAGGCCAUGUAGUUCUACAACAACCAAGGAAGAAGUCCGUUUUUUAAGCCGACCUUGGCCAAGCAUUUAAGCUUAUAUGGAUGCUCUCUAUUUUUCAGAGGUGCGUGUACUGAGGACGCCCAUGAUUUAGGGCCAAAAAUCUAGACAAAGUGACAAAACUUUGUACGAGACUUACUUGAAGCCAAGGAGGUCAGGGGAGGAGGGCAACAAGGCUGGGGAGCGGAGGCAGAGGCCGACGGGGAAGAGAAUGAUCAAGCAUGUAAAUCUAGAGCACAAGCUCGUGAUUUAUCAAGGGAGUGGCGCUGCCGCCGGAUUAGAAAAUCAUAUCUCACGUUAAGGUGUUUUUGUCUUUUGUUUUUGUACAAAUUUGGUGAAGGCAAUUUUUUGAUGAUACAUAUAAGAUGACUAGCAUUAUCUUUUUA